RNAcentral lists this ribosomal RNA (253 nucleotides) under uncultured bacterium. Its description in RNAcentral is "partial 16S ribosomal RNA". It matches the Rfam family "Bacterial small subunit ribosomal RNA", at positions 524 to 776 of the family's 1533-position model. The record is from RNAcentral.
UACGGAGGGUGCAAGCGUUAUCCGGAUUCACUGGGUUUAAAGGGUGCGUAGGUGGGCAGGUAAGUCAGUGGUGAAAUCCUGUAGCUUAACUACAGAACUGCCAUUGAUACUAUUUGUCUUGAAUACCCUGGAGGUGAGCGGAAUAUGUCAUGUAGCGGUGAAAUGCUUAGAUAUGACAUAGAACACCCAUUGCGAAGGCAGCUCACUACGGGAAUAUUGACGCUGAGGCACGAAAGCGUGGGGAUCAAACAGG